Molecule: long non-coding RNA, 284 nt
Filed under: Eutrema salsugineum
Lineage: Eukaryota; Viridiplantae; Streptophyta; Magnoliopsida; Brassicales; Brassicaceae
Description: long non-coding RNA (ESAL_LNC000871)
Source: RNAcentral
UUAGAUUUCUAGAACCUAUAUAAGCUUUAUCUCAUCCAUCUAUUGUACUCACCCUUGAAUUAAUAAAAAAAACCAGAAAGUUCUUUGUUUCAAAAACCUUGUGUUCUUGAUUCGUUUUUGCGAGUUCUAGGUAGAUUGUGGAAUCAGUCUCUCUAGGUUUCGUGUUUUGAGACUAAACUCUUUGUGAGGAAUAGCCCUUAGAGUUAGUUUCUGUUGAUACAUUUGUUUUAGUCCAUAAAACAAGUGUAUUGUCAUCACAACCUUCUUCCAUCCCUCCAUCAAAG